RNAcentral lists this ribosomal RNA (440 nucleotides) under uncultured bacterium. RNAcentral's name for it is "partial 16S ribosomal RNA". It matches the Rfam family "Bacterial small subunit ribosomal RNA", at positions 338 to 795 of the family's 1533-position model. The record is from RNAcentral.
CCUACGGGAGGCAGCAGUGGGGAAUAUUGCACAAUGGGGGAAACCCUGAUGCAGCGACGCCGCGUGAGUGAAGAAGUAUUUCGGUAUGUAAAGCUCUAUCAGCAGGGAAGAUAAUGACGGUACCUGACUAAGAAGCCCCGGCUAACUACGUGCCAGCAGCCGCGGUAAUACGUAGGGGGCAAGCGUUAUCCGGAUUUACUGGGUGUAAAGGGUGCGUAGGUGGCAGGGCAAGUCAGAUGUGAAAGCCCGGGGCUCAACCCCGGUACUGCAUUUGAAACUGUCCAGCUGGAGUGCGCGAGAGGUAUGCGGAAUGCGUGGUGUAGCGGUGAAAUGCAUAGAUAUCACGAAGAACUCCGAUUGAGAAGGCAGCAUACCGGCGCGCAACUGACGCUCAUGCACGAAAGCGUGGGGAUCGAACAGGAUUAGAUACCCCUGUAGUC